GCGGGAAUAGCUCAGUUGGUACAGCACGACCUUGCCAAGGUCGGGGUCGCGAGUUCGAGCCUCGUUUCCCGCUCCA
Molecule: transfer RNA, 76 nt
Filed under: Glaesserella parasuis
Lineage: Bacteria; Pseudomonadati; Pseudomonadota; Gammaproteobacteria; Pasteurellales; Pasteurellaceae
Description: tRNA-Gly
Rfam family: tRNA
About the family: Transfer RNA (tRNA) molecules are approximately 80 nucleotides in length. Their secondary structure includes four short double-helical elements and three loops (D, anti-codon, and T loops). Further hydrogen bonds mediate the characteristic L-shaped molecular structure. tRNAs have two regions of fundamental functional importance: the anti-codon, which is responsible for specific mRNA codon recognition, and the 3' end, to which the tRNAs corresponding amino acid is attached (by aminoacyl-tRNA synthetases). tRNAs cope with the degeneracy of the genetic code in two manners: having more than one tRNA (with a specific anti-codon) for a particular amino acid; and 'wobble' base-pairing, i.e. permitting non-standard base-pairing at the 3rd anti-codon position.
Source: RNAcentral